CCAGCGAUAGUCGUUACAUAGAGUUGUAGGCUUUGCCUGCUAUCUCUUACCCAUGUCUUUUGAGUACCUUACGUUUCCUCGGCGGGUCCGCCCGCCGAUUGGACAAUUUAAACCAUUUGCAGUUGCAAUCAGCGUCUGAAAAAACUUAAUAGUUACAACUUUCAACAACGGAUCUCUUGGUUCUGGCAUCGAUGAAGAACGCAGCGAAAUGCGAUAAGUAGUGUGAAUUGCAGAAUUCAGUGAAUCAUCGAAUCUUUGAACGCACAUUGCGCCCCUUGGUAUUCCAUGGGGCAUGCCUGUUCGAGCGUCAUUUGUACCUUCAAGCUCUGCUUGGUGUUGGGUGUUUGUCUCGCCUCUGCGUGUAGACUCGCCUCAAAACAAUUGGCAGCCGGCGUAUUGAUUUCGGAGCGCAGUACAUCUCGCGCUUUGCACUCAUAACGACGACGUCCAAAAGUACAUUUUUACACUCUUGACCUCGGAUCAGGUAGGGAUACCCGCUGAACUUAAGCAUAUCAAUAAGCGGAGGAAA
This 529-nucleotide ribosomal RNA is filed under the name Didymella sp. OUCMBI101105. RNAcentral describes it as "eukaryotic LSU rRNA". The stretch from base 157 to 310 matches the Rfam family "5.8S ribosomal RNA". The record is from RNAcentral. Lineage: Eukaryota; Fungi; Ascomycota; Dothideomycetes; Pleosporales; Didymellaceae.